Molecule: ribosomal RNA, 253 nt
Filed under: uncultured bacterium
Lineage: Bacteria
Description: partial 16S ribosomal RNA
Rfam family: Bacterial small subunit ribosomal RNA
Source: RNAcentral
UACGGGGGGGGCAAGCGUUGUUCGGAAUUACUGGGCGUAAAGGGCUCGUAGGCGGCCAACUAAGUCGGAUGUGAAAUCCCCAGGCUUAACCUGGGAACUGCAUCCGAUACUGGAUGGCUUGAAUCCGGGAGAGGGAUGCAGAAUUCCAGGUGUAGCGGUGAAAUGCGUAGAUAUCUGGAGGAACACCGGUGGCGAAGGCGGCAUCCUGGACCAAUUCUGACGCUGAGGAGCGAAAGCCAGGGGAGCAAACGGG